UACGGAGGGAGCUAGCGUUGUCCGGAUUUAUUGGGUUUAAAGGGUGCGUAGGCGGAUGCUUAAGUCAGAGGUGAAAGACGGUGGCUCAACCAUCGCAGUGCCUUUGAUACUGGGCAUCUUGAGUGCAGACGAGGUCUGUGGAAUGGAUGGUGUUGCGGUGAAAUGCUUAGAUACCAUCCAGAACACCAAUUGCGAAGGCAGCAGACUAGGGUGCAACUGACGCUGAGGCACGAAAGCGUGGGGAUCGAACAGG
RNAcentral lists this ribosomal RNA (253 nucleotides) under uncultured bacterium. Its description in RNAcentral is "partial 16S ribosomal RNA". It matches the Rfam family "Bacterial small subunit ribosomal RNA", at positions 524 to 776 of the family's 1533-position model. The record is from RNAcentral.